This 82-nucleotide transfer RNA is filed under the name Dendronephthya gigantea. Its description in RNAcentral is "tRNA-Ser". It matches the Rfam family "tRNA". From Rfam's summary of the family: Transfer RNA (tRNA) molecules are approximately 80 nucleotides in length. Their secondary structure includes four short double-helical elements and three loops (D, anti-codon, and T loops). The record is from RNAcentral. Lineage: Eukaryota; Metazoa; Cnidaria; Anthozoa; Malacalcyonacea; Nephtheidae.
GUAGUCGUGGCCGAGUGGUUAAGGCGACAGACUUGAAAUCUGUUGGGAUAUUCCCGCGCAGGUUCAAAUCCUGCCGACUACA